UCUUCAAUUACGGGAGGUAAAAAUAUUGAGUUACGCGCGGGAUGUUUCAUCAAAGAGAAAUUCAUAAAACUAAUCGCUUUUCUCUUUUGCAGGAAUUUUUAAUCUUGUAAAUUAGUUAUAAAACGAAACUCUGAUAAAAAGAACGCUUUUAUAAGAUUUUUAACUUUACCAAAGACUUGAGAGAAUGAAUAGGAAAUCCUAAGAAAUUAAUAUUGUGUCAUACAACGAAGCUUUCCACUCCGUUCUGAAUGUCCACCUUUGGUUUGUGUGUCUACUAAGAGACAUGAGGGCUCACGUGCACGCUUUUGUACAGUUUCGAAGUAGAAAAGAACAGAGAAGAGCACGAAGAUGAAGAAGAUGAAGAGUAGGAGGGGGAGAAGAAGAAGAAGAUGAUGAUGAAAAAGGAGGAGGAGGAGAGAAAUGAGACAGAGGCCUGGGUAAGUUAUCACUCGAGUCUGGACCAGGAAUAGUCACACCAUGUGGUGGCAGCCGUGGGACUGACUAUUUUCGGGUAAAGACAAAUUUGGCGCGGCGAAGCGCUACGCGAGGGAGCCGAGAAGCUGAGCCGAGCCGAGCCGAGCCGUCGUGUGGUAGCCGUCUCGAGUGUAAGCUUACAUCUGCACACGACGAGGGGGGUGUCGGCUCGUCGUCACUCGAGAGGAGAGGCCAAUGGGAUCUGUGCAGCCAUUUUUAGAGGGCUCGUUCCAAAGCGAUCGUGCUCGAGGCUUUGGCAGCAUUCAGUCCGAAGCGGUCAUCCGGGUUGGCAGGAUUUGAAGUCUCGAGGAAAUCAGCCCGAGAAACUCUCUCUCUCUCUCUCUCUCUCUCUCUCUCUCUCUCAGCCAUUUAGUAAUAAUUUCAGAAGAAAUCAGGUGUUAAGUCAAGAGGACCUUUCGGAUUUUCAAUCGUUCGAUUUGAUUGCAGCGGCGAGGAAGGCGAGACACGGAAGAAAAUGGGUGAGCGAGCGAGGAAGAAGACGCAUGCGGCUGGAUGCUGUUUUCGAGCCCGAAAUAGGACCCAAGCACAACCGCAGCCAUGUUUCCAGAAAUAAGUUCUCCGGUUACAGAAUCUAUUUCCGGUGCGCGGGCCGCCGACCGGUGCCCGAUUGCACGACGAUCGGUGACGUAUUCGGCUGCAGGUGUAACCUGUAACUCACGUUGCAGGAUCGUACACGCGAUAUUUGGUUUUGGUGUCCGGAAAAAAGAUUCAGUGUUGGUCGUAACGUUGUAACAAUAGUCGGCCAGUGACGUCAGUGAUUACGGUGAGAUCGACUAUGGUUCACGUAAUGAGAACGAGCGUAUUCUGAUCGUCGCAAGCGCACCGUGUAAAUAACGCGAUUAUAGGUGAAUGUGAAGUUACAAUUUGCCUUGUAAUAAUGAGACUAUUAUUAUUAAGGCUGUUAUUAUUAAAUAUUUGAAGAA
This is an unclassified non-coding RNA of Acromyrmex echinatior (Panamanian leafcutter ant), 1418 nucleotides long. The record is from RefSeq and is a predicted model, not a curated record. Lineage: Eukaryota; Metazoa; Arthropoda; Insecta; Hymenoptera; Formicidae.